CAAUAGCGUAUAUUAAAGUUGUUGCAGUUAAAAAGCUCGUAGUUGAAUUUUUGCUUGCCGCCGAUGUCGGAACUUCCGUACGUUCGGCGGCGUGCAUCCUUGGGUGGAACCUGUGUGGCCUUAGGUUGUCGUGCAGGGGAUGCUCAUCGUUUACUGUGAAAAAAUUAGAGUGUUCAAAGCAGGCUUACGCCGUUGAAUAUAUUAGCAUGGAAUAAUAAGAUAGGACCUUGGUACUAUUUUGUUGGUUUGCGCACCGAGGUAAUGAUUAACAGGGACAGUUGGGGGUAUUCGUAUUCCAUUGUCAGAGGUGAAAUUCUUGGAUUUCUGGAAGACGAACUACUGCGAAAGCAUUUACCAAGGAUGUUUUCAUUAA
RNAcentral lists this ribosomal RNA (373 nucleotides) under uncultured eukaryote. RNAcentral describes it as "partial 18S ribosomal RNA". It matches the Rfam family "Eukaryotic small subunit ribosomal RNA", at positions 592 to 976 of the family's 1831-position model. The record is from RNAcentral.